UGCCUGGGGCAGGGGGCAGCAGUAUCUCCCAGGGUAUGUGGCUGCCCCGCUAGCGUGGCGGCAGUGGUUAUCAGGCCAGGGGUGGGAGCUAACUUUAGUGUGCCUGACUGAGCCAGAGUGGGCUGGCCUUGGGGCUGAGGGACGCUGGACAGGGCCGAGCAGCUGCCCAGACGUGUCAGGGGCCUGAGGAAGGCUUCUAUUAAUGCUGCUCCCUGGGUGUGUCACCGGGGAUGGCUUCUGCUCGGGUUUCAGGGCCCUCUUCCCCUCUGGAAGCCAGAAAUACCCUGGGGCGGGGCAAGGAGAGAAGGCUCUAGAUGGUGACUUGAGACCUCCAUGGAGUGGAGCUGGGAAGGGGCGCAAGGCAGCGGCCCGGGGAAGGCGACAGCCCACCAGGCAYUCUGCUGAGGCUUCUCAUGUCGUCACAGUUGAUCUUCCCACUAAUCCAUGGGGUGAGAACAACGAUCGCUCCCAUAUUUUAGAUAAGGACACCGGCUCARAGACAUGAAGUAACUUGUCCCAAUUCACACAGCCAGGAAAAGGUACAGCSAGUGU
RNAcentral lists this long non-coding RNA (552 nucleotides) under Urocitellus parryii (Arctic ground squirrel). RNAcentral describes it as "lncRNA (ENSUPAG00010001146.1)". The record is from RNAcentral. Lineage: Eukaryota; Metazoa; Chordata; Mammalia; Rodentia; Sciuridae.